Molecule: unclassified non-coding RNA, 348 nt
Filed under: soil metagenome
Description: partial contains 5.8S ribosomal RNA, internal transcribed spacer 2, and large subunit ribosomal RNA
Rfam family: 5.8S ribosomal RNA (bases 1-120)
Source: RNAcentral
GAUGAAGAACGUAGCGAAAUGCGAUAAGUAAUGUGAAUUGCAGAAUUCAGUGAAUCAUCGAAUCUUUGAACGCACAUUGCGCCCGCCAGUACUCUGGCGGGCAUGCCUGUUCGAGCGUCAUUUCAACCCUCAUGCCCCUAGGGCGUGGUGUUGGGGAUCGGCCAAAGCCCGCGAGGGACGGCCGGCCCCUAAAUCUAGUGGCGGACCCGUCGUGGCCUCCUCUGCGAAGUAGUGAUAUUCCGCAUCGGAGAGCGACGAGCCCCUGCCGUUAAACCCCCAACUUUCCAAGGUUGACCUCAGAUCAGGUAGGAAUACCCGCUGAACUUAAGCAUAUCAAUAAGCGGAGGA